AGGACGAACGCUGGCGGCACGCUUAACACAUGCAAGUCGAACGGAGUUUGGAACUUGUUCCAAAACUUAGUGGCGGACGGGUGAGUAACACGUGAGCAACCUACCUCUGAGAGCGGAAUAGCUUCUGGAAACGGAUGGUAAUACCGCAUGACAUUACGGAACCGCAUGAUUCUGUAAUCAAAUGAAUUUCGCUCAGAGAUGGGCUCGCGCCUGAUUAGCUAGAUGGUGAGGUAACGGCCCACCAUGGCGACGAUCAGUAGCCGGACUGAGAGGUUGAACGGCCACAUUGGGACUGAGACACGGCCCAGACUCCUACGGGAGGCAGCAGUGGGGAAUAUUGCACAAUGGGCGAAAGCCCUGAUGCAGCGAUGCCGCGUGGAGGAAGAAGGUUUUCGGAUUGUAAACUCCUUUUUCAGGGACGAUAAUGACGGUACCUGAAGAAGAAGCUCCGGCUAACUACGUGCCAGCCGCGGC
RNAcentral lists this ribosomal RNA (474 nucleotides) under uncultured bacterium. RNAcentral's name for it is "bacterial SSU rRNA". It matches the Rfam family "Bacterial small subunit ribosomal RNA", at positions 26 to 518 of the family's 1533-position model. The record is from RNAcentral.